GGGCCGCUAGCUCAGUUGGUAGAGCAACUGACUCUUAAUCAGUGGGUCGGGGGUUCGAAUCCCCCGCGGCCCACCA
This 76-nucleotide transfer RNA is filed under the name Deltaproteobacteria bacterium. RNAcentral describes it as "tRNA-Lys". It matches the Rfam family "tRNA". Rfam says of the family: Transfer RNA (tRNA) molecules are approximately 80 nucleotides in length. Their secondary structure includes four short double-helical elements and three loops (D, anti-codon, and T loops). Further hydrogen bonds mediate the characteristic L-shaped molecular structure. tRNAs have two regions of fundamental functional importance: the anti-codon, which is responsible for specific mRNA codon recognition, and the 3' end, to which the tRNAs corresponding amino acid is attached (by aminoacyl-tRNA synthetases). tRNAs cope with the degeneracy of the genetic code in two manners: having more than one tRNA (with a specific anti-codon) for a particular amino acid; and 'wobble' base-pairing, i.e. permitting non-standard base-pairing at the 3rd anti-codon position. The record is from RNAcentral. Lineage: Bacteria; Pseudomonadati; Myxococcota; Myxococcia.